This 231-nucleotide ribosomal RNA is filed under the name uncultured Staphylococcus sp. RNAcentral's name for it is "partial 16S ribosomal RNA". It matches the Rfam family "Bacterial small subunit ribosomal RNA", at positions 109 to 334 of the family's 1533-position model. Lineage: Bacteria; Bacillati; Bacillota; Bacilli; Caryophanales; Staphylococcaceae. The record is from RNAcentral.
AGUAACACGUGGAUAACCUACCUAUAAGACUGGGAUAACUUCGGUAAACCGGAGCUAAUACCGGAUAAUAUUUUGAACCGCAUGGUUCAAAAGUGAAAGACGGUCUUGCUGUCACUUAUAGAUGGAUCCGCGCUGCAUUAGCUAGUUGGUAAGGUAACGGCUUACCAAGGCAACGAUGCAUAGCCGGCCUGAGAGGGUGAUCGGCCACACUGGAACUGAGACACGGUCCAG